AAGUCGUAACAAGGUCUCCGUUGGUGAACCAGCGGAGGGAUCAUUAAAGAGUUGCAAAACUCCAAACCCACUGUGAACUUUACCUAUGUCGUUGCUUUGGCAGGCAGCCCCAGGGCGGGGCUUUGACCUAAGUUUUAGGUGUCUGCCAAAAGCAUAAUUUAAUUCUAUUUUUUUUACUUUAUUAUCUGAGUUUUAAAACAAAUAAGUUAAAACUUUCAACAACGGAUCUCUUGGUUCUG
This 239-nucleotide unclassified non-coding RNA is filed under the name air metagenome. RNAcentral's name for it is "partial contains small subunit ribosomal RNA, internal transcribed spacer 1, and 5.8S ribosomal RNA". The stretch from base 1 to 46 matches the Rfam family "Eukaryotic small subunit ribosomal RNA", at positions 1786 to 1831 of the family's 1831-position model. The record is from RNAcentral.